This 500-nucleotide ribosomal RNA is filed under the name uncultured Bacteroidota bacterium. RNAcentral's name for it is "bacterial SSU rRNA". It matches the Rfam family "Bacterial small subunit ribosomal RNA", at positions 416 to 917 of the family's 1533-position model. Lineage: Bacteria; Pseudomonadati; Bacteroidota. The record is from RNAcentral.
CUAUGGGUUGUAAACUGCUUUUAUACAGGAAGAAACACCUCUACGUGUAGAGGCUUGACGGUACUGUAAGAAUAAGGAUCGGCUAACUCCGUGCCAGCAGCCGCGGUAAUACGGAGGAUCCAAGCGUUAUCCGGAAUCAUUGGGUUUAAAGGGUCCGUAGGUGGAUAAUUAAGUCAGAGGUGAAAUCCUGCAGCUCAACUGUAGAAUUGCCUUUGAUACUGGUUAUCUUGAGUCAUUAUGAAGUGGUUAGAAUAUGUAGUGUAGCGGUGAAAUGCAUAGAUAUUACAUAGAAUACCAAUUGCGAAGGCAGAUCACUAAUAAUGUACUGACACUGAUGGACGAAAGCGUGGGGAGCGAACAGGAUUAGAUACCCUGGUAGUCCACGCCGUAAACGAUGGUCACUAGCUGUUCGAACUUCGGUUUGAGUGGCUAAGCGAAAGUGAUAAGUGACCCACCUGGGGAGUACGUUCGCAAGAAUGAAACUCAAAUGAAUUGACGGG